This 30-nucleotide non-coding RNA is filed under the name Homo sapiens (human). The record is from RNAcentral. Lineage: Eukaryota; Metazoa; Chordata; Mammalia; Primates; Hominidae.
UCCCAGUGGCCUCUUUCAGCCCAGCCCAGC